RNAcentral lists this ribosomal RNA (253 nucleotides) under uncultured bacterium. RNAcentral's name for it is "partial 16S ribosomal RNA". It matches the Rfam family "Bacterial small subunit ribosomal RNA", at positions 524 to 776 of the family's 1533-position model. The record is from RNAcentral.
UACGGAGGGUGCGAGCGUUGUUCGGAAUUAUUGGGCGUAAAGCGCGUGUAGGCGGUUUGUUAAGUCUGAUGUGAAAGCCCCGGGCUCAACCUGGGAAGUGCAUUGGAUACUGGCAGACUUGAGUACGGGAGAGGAGAGUGGAAUUCCCAGUGUAGGAGUGAAAUCCGUAGAUAUUGGGAGGAACACCGGUGGCGAAGGCGGCUCUCUGGACCGAUACUGACGCUGAGACGCGAAAGCGUGGGGAGCAAACAGG